RNAcentral lists this unclassified non-coding RNA (525 nucleotides) under Hevea brasiliensis (rubber tree). The record is from RNAcentral. Lineage: Eukaryota; Viridiplantae; Streptophyta; Magnoliopsida; Malpighiales; Euphorbiaceae.
AAAAAAAAAAAAAAAAAAGGCCUUGGAUUAACUUCAGGAGAUGAUCAGUAGUUUCUCUAUAUUCCUACACAUGCAUAAGACCAAGAAAUAAUAAACCCCAUUCCCACACCCAGUUUUCACAUGUAAAUUAUCAGAAUAUCCAAACAAAGUGCAACCUUAGGAACCUUUUGUUAGUUUAGGUGCCUAAUGUUACUACAUUUACUCACAAUUCCACCUCAGAAGAAAAUAAGCAUACUUUACUGAUCUGAAUGACACUUAACCACCAUGAGUUCACUUACCAUCUUGCUUGACUCCCCGCACAGAAGAAUUGCAAGUAAGAGUUUCAAACUAGAAAAGUCAAAAAUUUGAAUUACCUAAAGGUGAAAUCAUCCUAGACAAAUAUGACAGCAACAAAAUACUAGAAAUUGCAAAAUUAUACUAAGCAUGCAUUUAUGGGAAGGCUAUUUAAUAAGCUUUUAGCUCAAUACAAAACGUUGACAUUAUUACAGUAGGAAAAUGCCACUGAAUAGGUCCAAUGACAUGUAC